GAAGCUCAAAUGUGUUGGCAACACAAGCUCUGCUUUUAUAACCUCGGGUUCCAUCUUCCUCCCUUUAUAGAUGUAAGAAAAAAGGCAGAUUUGAACACAUAAUCGAAGCAAAAUUUAUCAAAUUUACAAUUAAAAUAAAAAUAUUCAAUAUUUUUUUCAAAUAAAAAAAGCAAGAAAAUUUGAAGUUGAAGCUACUUAUUUCUUAGGGCAAAGGAUUCUCCCUUCCUCCCAAUUCCCCCUUAUUCUCCUAGUGGCAGGGCUUGAGCAGUUCACUAAAUCUACCCAAAUAAAUUUUGAAAUUCAAACAUAAAAU
RNAcentral lists this unclassified non-coding RNA (313 nucleotides) under Hevea brasiliensis (rubber tree). Lineage: Eukaryota; Viridiplantae; Streptophyta; Magnoliopsida; Malpighiales; Euphorbiaceae. The record is from RNAcentral.